CUAGCAUUCGCGUUCGUCGGUUGUAUGUGAAAGGUUUGGUUUGUUUUUGUGUGUACAAAGCGUGUCGGUCGUUUCAAUUAAAAUUGUGAAUUUUUACAGCAUUCCUGUGAGACGCGGCAGUGAAAUUUUGUGACUCGAUAGCAAAUUUAGAGCGAAUAUAUUAAAUAAAACGGAGUAUGAAAUACAAUAAAAUGAAAUGACAAGCGAAUAAGCACGCCGCGCUGCAUGCAAAAAGUGUAAACUGAGUGCAACGCAGUGCAAAAAAAUCUAUUAAAAGUUUAUCGAACUAAUUGAAUACAAUCAACGUAUCGCCGUGGCUGCCAAAAGAAGCCAACAAGCAACGAAAGCGCCAGCAGCUAAAGCAAAUAAGAACAAAUCCAAUUAGAAAAAAUAUUUGUUCAGCAAAAACAAAAGACAGUCAACCCACAGGGCGCCAUUCAAAACAAACGCGGGUCAACACCAACGCAGCGUGCUCAACAAAAAAAAAAAUAUUUCGUACAUACCACCCAUUUCUAGCAGCAGCAGCAGCAGCACUGAAUGAGCAACUAGCCGAGCCAGCAGCGAUAAUUCGUCAGUAUCUUUAGAGCGUUCAGUGCGCGUUCGGGCCAAGUGUGAAACGCGUCGCUGCGCUGUUUUGCGAGUUAUUGUUUGUGUGUGUGUGUAUGCGCGUUUAUCAAAUAAAAAAAAAAAGACAAAUUUCAUACAUUUUUCCAAAUCUUACUAAUACAGCUUUCGAUUAUCAUAACGUAUAACAAAAAAAAAGCAAUAAUAAUAAAAGUACCAGCAAGGUGUGAACGCACAUUUAUUUUCUGUGUGCAACCGCCGCCCUGCCAAGCGAACGACCUCCUUUUAGUUUUGCCUUUGUGUGUGCGCGCGCGCAUUGUAAAGUCAUUAUGGCCGCCACACCGUUGACCCUGAUGGAUGGCAGCAUCGCAUCAGCUACAGUUACGGCAGAUGCCACCGUCGUCGCCGCAGUGGCUUUGGAUAGUGACAGCAGUAGUGUUGCAACAUCACCUUCAUCAACCGCCGCCAGAGCAGCGCAAGCUUCUUCAGCCGUGCGGCCAACAAUGUUAUUCGGCUCUACUGAAUAUUUAGACACAUCCGCUAAUGUGCUGGUCUCACCAAAUGGCAGCGGCAGUGGUAAUUCCGCCGCCACAUCGCCCUCAUUUCUGCCGGAGAUGCCGCAAUGGAAGAAAGACUUAAUACAGCGCCGCAAAUCGAAUGUUGCACGUACGAUCGGUGCAGCAACAGCAGUAGUGGUGUCACCGACAUCUGCGGUAUCCGCUGCAACAAUGCAACAGCAACGUGUGAUGACGGGUGGUCAACAGCCAUCGCCAACAACAACAGCUGCAGAUGGUUUCUCGCCGACUGCAAUAUCCAUAACGCCAAACAGAGACUUAUCCACGGUCGCUUCCAAAUCCGCAGUUCAAGCAGCAACCGUGACAACAACAACAACCAAAGUGAGCAAACUAACUGCUAGUCAACAACAGCAAACAGAAAAAGAACAACAACUUCAUCAACUCCAACAAAAGCUUGCAACGGUAAACACAUCUGAGCAACAGCAAAUGAGUCUGAUUAUGAAAAUGCCAACGGCAACAGCCACAGUCACAGCAUCUCCCACAGCUCCAAUCGCGUCCACAGUUGGAGGAGCCAUAAUCGUUUCACCAACACCACGCGCAUCAAAACGCUACUCACCAACAUGCAGCAGCAACAACAGUUCGCCAACAAAAGAAAAAUCCGAAAGAAUUCUACACGGGGGUCAUUACACGCCAAAUAGAGAACACCGCGAGAGUGGCGGCGAUCGCGCAGAUUGGGAUAUACACCGACAAAUGGUAUCGCCAACGACAGCAACAACAAUAACAUCACUUCACAAAUCAACAACAGGGGCAGCACCACCGCCAAUACCAAAGCAAAGAUCAGCGUACUCGCCGGUAAAGAAUGCUUCUUCAGCUGCAGCCAAAGAAUCGGUUUCUGGCAACGCAAAUUACCAAAUGAGCGAGAAGAGAGGCAGCGGUGGCGGCGUAGCGACGACAGCAACUCGUUUAACAGGUAAAACUGUGACGCCGGCGGCAGAAACGGUGAGAGAGGAGUUGCAGAGCACAGCUGGCGUUGAAUGUGACGGUGGUGCCGCUGAUAGUACCACAACUAUGGCCACCAACACAGCUGUUGGUGCUAGCAUUGGCCAUGCUGAUGGUGAUGGCGAAGAAUGUACAUUUGGCGAAAAGCAAGAAAACGAAACCACGACACGCAUAACGGCAGGAGAGAUUGGUGGAACGUAUGCAGCGUCGAGCAGGCAAAUACCAUCCACACUACAGACUACAACGGCUGGCUCGCCAACUAGAGCGAGCAUGAGCGGAGCGGCAGUGACGACGGUGCCACUAUCGCCAUCGUUAGUCGCCGCACAAGCAGCCCAGUCUCAGCUAUCGCAACAGUUUCAUUCGAAGAACGAGCGCGAACGUACGUACACGGAACAACGCGGUGCGUCAUCGUCGUCGUCGGUCGGGAACAAUAGUUGUAUAGCUACAACAAAAAAAGUGCAAACACCAGAAAAUAUAGUAGCAGAUUGCAGCAGCGGUAGUGUUGGCUUAUCGAACAGCAAUAAUAAUUACAGCGCCACAUCCAGCCCCUACUCGCCAUCGAAUUACGUUUCGUCACAGCUUGGUAAUAGUAGCGGCGCCGCAGCAGGAAGUGGCAGCGGUAAAAUCUUUUCGAAGCUCCACAAUAAUCAAUUCAUAAAGAAUCAACAACAGCAGCAUCAACAUCUGCAACAGAGCGGGGCACAAACGAGCGCUGCAACGCAAUCGAAUAUUACCGCACGUUAUCUAAAAUAUAAAUCGUACACAUCGCAUGCGCAGGAAUCUACAGGCAGCAGUGAAACUGGUUCGGGAAGUUCCAACUCAAGCGGCAGCAACAGUAGCUACUCCGGUUUACCGGGCACUUACUCGCCAACAAAGUCGUUUGUGGCACCCACUGCAAACGCCAUUAAAAAGAAAAUGGUGGCCGUGCAGGAGAUGAAGAAGACUACACAGCCGAGUGGCAAUCACGGCCAACUACAUCCACAUCGCACACAUCAUAAUCAUCAACAGCAACAAUUCCAACAGAUGAUCAGCGCAGGAGGAGGUGGUGGCGGGACGUGUGCACGUCCUGCAGCACUCACUGGCGGUCGCGCACGUCCACCCAGCCAGUCGGAGGAGGUGGACUUCGAUCCGGCCGAGGAUCUCAGCUAUGGUCCGGGAAUAGUGUCGAAAUUGCGUUGCCGUUAUCUUAGUCUCGCUUUCCGCGAAUCUAUGGAGAAGGAGCGUCAUUGUCUCGAUAAUAUGCGGCGCGCCACAAGCCUCAACAAUCUGCUCGAUCGUGAUGAUCCACCAGACGAUGAUGAGCCCGAAGAUGAACUGGACAGCGGGGAGGCCAUUGAAGUGGAAGUGCAUGAAGAGGAAGAAUAUGUUGAUAUGCGCACUGAUGCAGACAGAACUACAAAUGCCGAGCGCAAACUAAAAGCACAGGGUGGCAUACUGAAGUACAACACCGACGCUGCUACGCAGGAGAAUGCUAAAAAGACUACAACAUUUCAAAAGAAUUCGGGCACUUUUGCCGCGAACAGUGCGCGUUUGUUGAAUUCGUCUUCGGUUGGUGGCACAGGCGGUGCGGUAUCCUCCGCCAAUGUAGUUGCUCCAGAUACGCCGCGUUCGCGACAUGUGAAACGUGGUAAUGAUUCGUUAAAACGCGCGCGGUCCGUGGAAGCGUUGCUCUGUGAACGUUCGCCCUGGCAAUAUGCGGCGCUUAAUCGCACCAGCUAUCAGCCACAACGUUUCACGUCGAACAGUACAGCGUUCUCGCCGUCGCAGCCGACCUGCGUCACUAUCGAGGAUAAGAUAAAUAAUGCGCGUAGUCGUCUGAUACUCGGCACGGAUAUUAUGCCACCUAAGCGAUUGACCUCAGUGAUUGAUGAUACGGAAAGACCACCACCGGAUUUGGUCAAACAAACAUUGAAAAAGUUCGAAGCCACAGCUAAUCGGCGUGGACGCGGACCGAGCCGCACGAAUGGCACCGGCGAGGUCGCUAACAAAGUGGCUACUUACAAGACAAUCAUUAAGGAGAACAAGCCAGCAAUUGUGUUUCCCAAACCACCGCUUAGUCCCACCAAGAAGUUGAAUUCAUCAUUGCUAUUAAAGCCGGCAGCUAAGCCAGUGGUGGGCGCUACUGAUUUGCUCAAUAGUCCGUUAGGGCGCAAAACCGCUGCCUUAGCCGCUUCAAAUGUCACGACUGCGCCUGGAAAGACGUUAACUUCGACGACAACCUCUAAUGUCGCUGCAGUAGCCGCCGUGCUGGCCAAUAGUAGCAGCGCAGCUGGUGCCGGCUUAUCAGAGCACUCGCCCGAUAUCAUUCCAAGGCAUAAGCUUUUAGCGGAAAAGAGUGAUUUAUCGGGGCACGGGGUGGCCGAUUCGCCAGUGACAGCUUUAACGAAAAAGCUCGAAAAGCUGCGAAUUGACGGAGCAGAUAAGCAGCAACAACAAGCAAUAACAACAAAGGAAGCAAAACAGCCAACACAGUUGAAUAAGCAGCCACACUCGGCACUCGAAGUAACCAACAGCGACAACGAAUUCGUCAAUAACAGCGAGUUGAACAACGACAACAGUACUAAGCUUGUGGGUGGUGUUGGCGAGGGUGAAGCGGCUGACAAUAGUGACGCAGCCCUCGAAGGCAACGAAAACAGCAACAACAAAACGGCAACGGCGGCGAACCAGCAUAAUGAUCGUGCAGGCACUAGCACUGUUGGCGGUGGCGAGUCAGUCGUAGAACCCGAUUCGGUGCAGGCAGGAACCGCAGCAAUUAGUAGUGAUCUUAGCGACGACGACGACGGACUUGUUGGUAUUGCCGCCGCCGCACCCACAAAACUUAUAACGCGCACAGCACUCGAUAAUAUCGCACGCGCGGGCACCACACAACAAUUCAAAUUCGCUGGCAGUGGACAAACGGAUGUCGGCAACAAAUUAUUAGAACCGAAAACGAAACAACAAACUAAUCUAAAUUCCGAUAUACCCACUUCGGUAUUGAACGCCGCACCAGGCAAACAAAUCGGGGUCAUACGCCCUCUACUCACCACAACAGCAGCGCAACAGGCUGCUGCCAACGUGAAUACUACAAACUCGAGCAUCUCAAAUCAACAACAAUUGCUGCAACAACAUAUGGAAGCAUUGAGGCAACAUAACAUUUACAACAACUCGUCAUCAACGCUAACAACGGCCGCCACAGCAACACAUUCCUCAAUUUACCACAGCAUACCGCAGCUGACGAGCCGCGAAAUCGAAAAGAAUCGCAUAAAUGAAAUGAAGAAAACGGUCGCCUUAGCGGAUGGUGGCCCAACAGCAGCCACUGUGGUUGGCGCCAGCGCCAAUGCCAACUCACCCGCCGCCGUACAGCAUGCCACAAUUGCUAGUCUAAAUACCGUGAUAAAUACCAAUGCGACUGGUCACAAGUCCAGCGGCUCGGGCGCUGCGUCAUCAACGCCAAUAGUUGGCGGAGGUUCAGGCACUUCCGGCUUCAAUGAACUCGAUGCGGCAGCGCAGGGCGCUAAUAAUAGUCCCUUAUGGGCGCUACGCAUCAAACGACAGACACCAAGCGCUGCACAGGAGAACACAUCGAUGGUCUUCAACUUCUCCAAUCGCAAAGAGGUGCCCGAUUAUAUUGAGAAUGAUGGGGUGAUCUUCCGCAGAAAACGUGAAUUACCCAAGCCAAAUGAAUCUGGUUUCGUGCUACUCGGUGAUCUCUCGCUGGAAACUUCAACCGAUUCGGAUUAUGAUGAUUUCUCCAUGUGCCCACCAUCUCCGUGCGAUGUUGAAUUCGAAAAUGCUAAUAUUGUGAUCGAUGGCAAGUCAAGCUUCCGACAGAAACCUAAAGAAGCAACGUUUCACGUACAAUUCAACGAUACGCUCACCUCCACCUUUGAAUAUCCCUCCGAGGCAUCGAUAGUUAUUGACGACUCCUACAGCGAUGAUGCACUUAUAAGCGCCUACGAGAAUUUAUCAUUGAAUGAUUCAACCGAUUCCUCACCGGCGCGACACCAUCAUGUAGCCGUUGAUGAGAUUAUACAACUGCCAACACCGGCGAAUACCUCGUCUCCCGCCAAUAAUGCCAGCAGCGCAACAAAUACGCCAACGAAAAAUAUACUGGGGAAUUUGCCAUUAGAUGUAAAUUAAAUAAUUUAACAAAAGAGAAACAAAAACGAAAUCAUGUUUACAAUGCGUUUGUGUAAGUGUGCCUAAACUGAAAAAGCGCGUUAAAGAAAACGAGAAAAAUCGAAAUAUCGUAAAAAAAUCAAAAAAAAAAUAUUUAUUAAAAAAAGUAAUAAUAACAAAGCAUAAAUUUUACGCAACUCCGUAAAUGCCAAGUUUUUUUUUUAUAAAAGAAAUGUUAACAAUACCAAAGCUAUAAAACUGUCUGCCUGCCCGUGCGCCGCCCGCCUGCUACUUUUGCUCGUACUACCAAACCAAGACCAUUAUCACCAACAGCACCGCUACUCUGCUACUUAUACUAUGCAUUACUACCUAAAUACUAAAUACUACCUUUAAGUAUUCUACAAGUAAAGCUACUUAAACUUCUAACAACCACCUGAAAAGAAUAAUAAUACUGCCAAAAAUGUUUUAUAUACUAAACUAAAUCUAAAAAAAGCCAAAAACUUAUUAUGCCUACUAAGUAAUUAAAUUUGCGAGUAUAGUCGCAACCAUGUGCAGCUCUGCAGCUAACAUUUAAAUAGUGCUAAUGCUUUCAAAUAUCAAAGUACCAAAGUCAUGUGUCGACAACAAAAAUCAACUCAAAAUCAACUAAAGUUUGCUGUGAAAUAUGCAAUUAAACACUCACACAAUUCACAAUGCAGUAAUUCGUAUGUAACGGGGAAAAAAAUUAAAUCAGAUGUUAAUCAGCUGAAAAAACGCGCACGUAAACUGUAACAUAGUAACGUUUACGCGUUUACGUUGUACGCGAAAGAGUUUAUGGGUAACCGAAAUGCGUGAAACACUAUUCGAAAUGCUGCUAUUCCACUUUUUUGUUUAACUACGAAAUUUGAAACGCCAAAAAUGUGUGAAAUAUGCAGUGAAUGUUGCUCUACUCUCUUAUUAACUCACAGAAAAACUUUUAUGAACAAAAUUUUCAACUACGAAUUGUGUGUACGUGUGUUCGACCAUUUUUGAAAAAAAAAAAAAAAACAGAUAUCAUAUUUGAGUUGAGGUUCAGCGCCGCUCGGUUUCUAUACUCCGGUGAAGGCGCCUAUCGAUAAUCACUUUCAAUUGGGCGUAACGCGUGCACCCAAUGGAUUGGCACACCAUGCCUACAAUAACACCU
RNA transcript from Anastrepha obliqua, 7338 nucleotides. RefSeq lists it as uncharacterized. The record is from RefSeq and is a predicted model, not a curated record. Lineage: Eukaryota; Metazoa; Arthropoda; Insecta; Diptera; Tephritidae. The transcript is spliced from 7 exons.